AGUCGAACGAACUUCCGUUAAUUGAUUAUGACGUGCUUGCACUGAAUGAGAUUUUAACACGAAGUGAGUGGCGGACGGGUGAGUAACACGUGGGUAACCUGCCCAGAAGCAGGGGAUAACACCUGGAAACAGAUGCUAAUACCGUAUAACAGAGAAAACCGCCUGGUUUUCUUUUAAAAGAUGGCUCUGCUAUCACUUCUGGAUGGACCCGCGGCGCAUUAGCUAGUUGGUGAGGUAACGGCUCACCAAGGCGAUGAUGCGUAGCCGACCUGAGAGGGUAAUCGGCCACAUUGGGACUGAGACACGGCCCAGACUCCUACGGGAGGCAGCAGUAGGGAAUCUUCCACAAUGGACGCAAGUCUGAUGGAGCAACGCCGCGUGAGUGAAGAAGGGUUUCGGCUCGUAAAGCUCUGUUGUUAAAGAAGAACGUGGGUGAGAGUAACUGUUCACCCAGUGACGGUAUUUAACCAGAAAGCCACGGCUAACUACGUGCCAGCAGCCGCGGUAAUACGUAGGUGGCAAGCGUUAUCCGGAUUUAUUGGGCGUAAAGCGAGCGCAGGCGGUCUUUUAAGUCUAAUGUGAAAGCCUUCGGCUCAACCGAAGAAGUGCAUUGGAAACUGGGAGACUUGAGUGCAGAAGAGGACAGUGGAACUCCAUGUGUAGCGGUGAAAUGCGUAGAUAUAUGGAAGAACACCAGUGGCGAAGGCGGCUGUCUGGUCUGUAACUGACGCUGAGGCUCGAAAGCAUGGGUAGCGAACAGGAUUAGAUACCCUGGUAGUCCAUGCCGUAAACGAUGAUUACUAAGUGUUGGAGGGUUUCCGCCCUUCAGUGCUGCAGCUAACGCAUUAAGUAAUCCGCCUGGGGAGUACGACCGCAAGGUUGAAACUCAAAAGAAUUGACGGGGGCCCGCACAAGCGGUGGAGCAUGUGGUUUAAUUCGAAGCUACGCGAAGAACCUUACCAGGUCUUGACAUCUUCUGCCAACCUAAGAGAUUAGGCGUUCCCUUCGGGGACAGAAUGACAGGUGGUGCAUGGUUGUCGUCAGCUCGUGUCGUGAGAUGUUGGGUUAAGUCCCGCAACGAGCGCAACCCUUAUUACUAGUUGCCAGCAUUCAGUUGGGCACUCUGGUGAGACUGCCGGUGACAAACCGGAGGAAGGUGGGGACGACGUCAAAUCAUCAUGCCCCUUAUGACCUGGGCUACACACGUGCUACAAUGGAUGGUACAACGAGUCGCGAAACCGCGAGGUUUAGCUAAUCUCUUAAAACCAUUCUCAGUUCGGACUGUAGGCUGCAACUCGCCUACACGAAGUCGGAAUCGCUAGUAAUCGCGGAUCAGCAUGCCGCGGUGAAUACGUUCCCGGGCCUUGUACACACCGCCCGUCACACCAUGAGAGUUUGUAACACCCAAAGCCGGUGGGGUAACCU
Molecule: ribosomal RNA, 1425 nt
Filed under: Pediococcus acidilactici
Lineage: Bacteria; Bacillati; Bacillota; Bacilli; Lactobacillales; Lactobacillaceae
Description: bacterial SSU rRNA
Rfam family: Bacterial small subunit ribosomal RNA
Source: RNAcentral